This 540-nucleotide long non-coding RNA is filed under the name Bos taurus (domestic cattle). RNAcentral's name for it is "long non-coding RNA NONBTAT013757". The record is from RNAcentral. Lineage: Eukaryota; Metazoa; Chordata; Mammalia; Artiodactyla; Bovidae.
CAUUCCCUAAAGGUUUGAACUGAGGUAUGCGUACUAACAGUUUCUCAUGCUGUUAACUUUACUCAUGUCUAGCUACACAUGCUGAGAAUGAACUAAUCUACCAGAUUUUUAUCCUCUUUUGAAUACCAAACUAACCAGCAACCACUCCGUUCAGAAGCUCAGGGCCCCCUUCCCAUGACCCUGUCUGGCUACUGCCUGCACAUCAUGACGCUGCCUGGAAAAGUUGGGGAAAAAAAAAAUGUAAGUCUCGAGUGACCACAGACUGCCCUUUAUAGAGAAAGCAGUGUGAAGCUUCAAAAGUAACUGCCAAAGAAGUUUUUCUACCAAGCUUGUGAGUGGACAGGAAUGUUACUUUUUUUUUUUUUUUUAAUGAAAAAUGCUGAGGCAAGCCUAAUCUGAAAGAAAGGAAGGACAAAAAGAAAACCUUUUAAAAAAUAAAACAAAAACCUGGAGGAUAUAUAUGACAAGAGAAACUAAAAUGAACGCAGUGAUCAUAGCACAGUCUUUAAACAAAAGUGGCAUACAAUCUUUCUUUGAAAA